ACGGGGGGUGCAAGCGUUGUUCGGAAUUAUUGGGCGUAAAGAGCGUGUAGGCGGCUGAUUAAGUCAGAUGUGAAAUCCUUGGGCUUAACCCAGGAAGUGCAAUUGAUACUGUUCAGCUUGAGUAUGGUUAAGGAAGGUGGAAUUCGUAAUGUAGAGGUGAAAUGCUUAGAUAUCAGGAGGAACACCAAUUGCGUAGGCAGCUUACUGACCCGAUACUGACGCUGAGGCGCGAAAGCGUGGGUAUCGAACAG
RNAcentral lists this ribosomal RNA (251 nucleotides) under uncultured prokaryote. Its description in RNAcentral is "partial 16S rRNA". It matches the Rfam family "Bacterial small subunit ribosomal RNA", at positions 525 to 775 of the family's 1533-position model. The record is from RNAcentral.